This 392-nucleotide ribosomal RNA is filed under the name uncultured bacterium. RNAcentral's name for it is "partial 16S ribosomal RNA". It matches the Rfam family "Bacterial small subunit ribosomal RNA", at positions 523 to 918 of the family's 1533-position model. The record is from RNAcentral.
AUACGGAGGAUCCGAGCGUUAUCCGGAUUUAUUGGGUUUAAAGGGUGCGCAGGCGGCCAUUUAAGUCAGCGGUUAAAUCGUGGGGCUCAACCCCAUUCUGCCGUUGAUACUGGGUGGCUUGAUUGCGGUCGAGGUUGGCGGAAUUCGUUGUGUAGCGGUGAAAUGCAUAGAUAUGGCGAAGAACACCGAUUGCGUAGGCAGCUGACCAGACCGCAAAUGACGCUCAUGCACGAAAGUGCGGGGAUCGAACAGGAUUAGAUACCCUGGUAGUCCGCACAGUAAACGAUGAAUACUUGUUUUCGGCGAUAUAAUGUCGGAGGCAAAGCGAAAGCGAUAAGUAUUCCACCUGGGGAGUACGCCGGCAACGGUGAAACUCAAAUGAAUUGACGGGG